Molecule: transfer RNA, 65 nt
Filed under: Angaria delphinus
Lineage: Eukaryota; Metazoa; Mollusca; Gastropoda; Trochida; Turbinidae
Description: tRNA-Lys
Source: RNAcentral
AGGUGGCUGAGAAAAUAGAAUAAGCGUUAGACUUUUAAUCUGAAAACGGUAUGUACUUUACCCCU